This 73-nucleotide transfer RNA is filed under the name Dryococelus australis. RNAcentral's name for it is "tRNA-OTHER". It matches the Rfam family "tRNA". Rfam says of the family: Transfer RNA (tRNA) molecules are approximately 80 nucleotides in length. Their secondary structure includes four short double-helical elements and three loops (D, anti-codon, and T loops). Lineage: Eukaryota; Metazoa; Arthropoda; Insecta; Phasmatodea; Phasmatidae. The record is from RNAcentral.
GCCACUGUGGCCUAAUGGAUAAGGCAUCGGUCUUCUAAAUCGGGGAUUGUGGGUUCGAGCCCCACCAGGGGUG